CACGCUGACAGGCCUCGCUUUUCAUCUCUGCAGCUGCUCGUGUGGCUUUGCUCCCGGAGCUUCUGAGUUGAGCCAUUCGAGGUCACCUCUGGGCGCCUCCUGAGGCCUGUUUCCUCCUUGGAACAAGGUGGCAAAAGAUUCAGCUGGACCAUGAGUGGCCACAAAGGCUGCAAAGUUGUCAGUACCCAUACUUCAGCAGGUGAAGAACUUCAGGAACCAGCGAGAAAGCACCGUGCUAAAAGACGGUAAAAGUUGCCAACAGAGAACAGAGAGGAUCGGAACCCAGGAUCCUGAUUCGUCAGUUUCUCCAAGCCAACCUGCUGCUCCCUCAAGUACACCAAAGGUUCCAGGAUGUGUAUAGAGGGGCCGUUAUUUAGCUCGCUACGCUGUGGAAGGCACCUCAGUGGCUUUUCAGCUUCCCACUAGGGAAGCUUUAUCUGAUGGCGUUCUAUCUUCUCCCUUAUGACUGGGAUUCAUGUCUUCAUAAAAGAAGCCCCAGAGAACACUUGUCUCUUUUACUACAAGACAUAGCAAGAAUAUGCCAUCACUGAGCCAGGAAGCGGCUGUCAUCAGAUACUGAAUCUGAUGGCUUUGUUUUGAGAUAGGGCCACCUCAGGAAGCCCAGACUGGCUUCAGACUCGUAUGUAGCUGAGAAUAACCUUCAGUUUCUGAUCU
This is a long non-coding RNA of Arvicola amphibius (Eurasian water vole), 675 nucleotides long. RefSeq lists it as uncharacterized. The record is from RefSeq and is a predicted model, not a curated record. The transcript has 3 exons. Lineage: Eukaryota; Metazoa; Chordata; Mammalia; Rodentia; Cricetidae.